AUGGCUCCCGGCGCGGGGGGCGCUCCCCCUGGCGGCCGCCCCCCCUGCCUUGCCCCGACCUUCCUCCACCUCCUCCUCCUCCUCCUCCUCCUCCUCCUCCUCCUCCUGCUGCCCCCAGCGGCCCGGGAGGAACUGAACGGGCGCCGCACAGGAAGUAGCGGCUGCGGGGAGCAGUGGUGGUGGCGGUGGAGGAGGAGGAGGAGGAGGCAGAGGCAGCAGCAGCAGCAGCAGCAUCAGGGGCUGCGGCGCUCCAUGAGCCCAGGCUCCCGCAGCCGCCCGGCCCCGCUCGUCCCCGGCACUCAGCGCCCAAGCCCGGGGGCUGGAGCUUCCCGAGGAGAAGGAGGAGGAGGAGGAGGGAGGCAGGCAAAUGAGAAAGCAAAUCUCUUGAAACAUAAGCAGUGGUACUUCCCUGGAGGGAGGAGAUGGGAAUUCUCCUGUUACUCUGAGAGUUGCCAGGUGCCAGAAGUGGUCCACAGUGGUGGUGUCUCUCAUGCAUAA
This 498-nucleotide long non-coding RNA is filed under the name Anas zonorhyncha (Eastern spot-billed duck). Its description in RNAcentral is "lncRNA (ENSAZOG00000007834.1)". Lineage: Eukaryota; Metazoa; Chordata; Aves; Anseriformes; Anatidae. The record is from RNAcentral.